AGCGGCGGUUGGAGUAACGGCCGCCUGGCAAGAAACUUGGUCUGAAACCACACAGCUGGCGGAGAAACGGCGGCAGCAUCUGGUUUUAGGCCCAGAAAGUCCAAUGUGAUAUCAACAGACCAUAACACAAAAGAGCUAACCCAGCUUUGGAUUUCUCUGCAAGACGAGAAUCCUGUUUUGCAAUUCUUCCUUCAACCCCAGCCAGGUAAAGCCCCACCAGGCCGAACAGCGUGGGCACCAGGGCAAAACACACCAGGGGGAAAACGUCGUUGAUGAUCUUCUGCCACUGCGC
Molecule: long non-coding RNA, 292 nt
Organism: Gambusia affinis (western mosquitofish)
Lineage: Eukaryota; Metazoa; Chordata; Actinopteri; Cyprinodontiformes; Poeciliidae
Exons: 3
Source: RefSeq, a predicted model, not a curated record